UUUUUUAACUAACAUGAUUUUUAACUCAAUCUUAUUGCAUUCUUAUUGAUUAUAAUCAUGUAAGUCUCUAAAAAGCUAUUUACAAAGAAAUAUAACUUAUAAUAUAAAGAUAGAUUGCUAAAAAUAAAUAAAUAAACUAAUUAGAAUCAUAUAUACCUAUUGGAUUUGGUUGAAUGGACUAAUGUGAUGAUAAGAAGAUGGCAAUCAUGUAGUUAAUGUUUGAGAUCUGAGAUGGAAUCAUUCUAAUUUGGUAUUGUUGAUA
RNAcentral lists this long non-coding RNA (262 nucleotides) under Physcomitrium patens. Its description in RNAcentral is "long non-coding RNA (PPAT_LNC006642)". Lineage: Eukaryota; Viridiplantae; Streptophyta; Bryopsida; Funariales; Funariaceae. The record is from RNAcentral.